UCUACAUGACUUGCUGUCUGGCUGCCA
Molecule: non-coding RNA, 27 nt
Filed under: Mus musculus (house mouse)
Lineage: Eukaryota; Metazoa; Chordata; Mammalia; Rodentia; Muridae
Source: RNAcentral